RNAcentral lists this ribosomal RNA (207 nucleotides) under uncultured Acidobacteriota bacterium. Its description in RNAcentral is "uncultured Acidobacteria bacterium partial 16S ribosomal RNA". It matches the Rfam family "Bacterial small subunit ribosomal RNA", at positions 568 to 774 of the family's 1533-position model. Lineage: Bacteria; Pseudomonadati; Acidobacteriota. The record is from RNAcentral.
UGUGUAGGCGGUUCUCUAAGUUCGGUGUGAAAUCUCCCGGCUCAACUGGGAGGGUGCGCCGAAAACUGGAGGGCUUGAGUACGGGAGAGGAGAGCGGAAUUCCUGGUGUAGCGGUGAAAUGCGUAGAGAUCAGGAGGAACACCCGCGGUGUAGACGGCUCUCUGGACCGUGACUGACGCUGAGACACGAAAGCGUGGGUAGCAAACA